AAACAGGCAGAAACCACUGCAGGCCUCAUUUGCGUUGCCAUUUUUAAGCGUACAGGAAGAGAGAGAACAACUGAGACUAAGCCAUCGAGCGCCACGGUAUCGGCCUUCUGUCCUGCGGCUGAACAGCUACUUAUCAGGUCACAUAAGCCACCCAUUGAUUCCCAUUACUGAAUCUUGUUAUUGUUGGUUUGUAUGGCUCAAGGGAGAGUUUACUGCUUGCCACUUGAAUCAGUUGACUUACAGUGUUCCAUUUGUGCUCAUUAAGGCAUGGGUCAUUGAAGGGCAACAUGCUUUCGUCACAGUUUGGGGAAAAUAGAUCAUUUCACACUCAAUUUAAAGCACAAUAGAGUGCCAUUAAUGUUCCUGUAAACCUAUGUUUCUAUUACCAAAAAAUACAUCAUUUGCAUUUGGGGGGUUGUUUAAUGUGCAUGCCACUUAAUUUUAUUCCUGGAUGAAGGGACUCUAGACUCAUUUCCAAAAAUGUCAUAGAAGCUGUAACAUGUAGCAGCCCUUCCACUGAUAGCCAAAGGUCUGGUUUCUUAGACUAUGUUUACAUAAGGCAGGACUUUGACUUCUUAUUUGAAACGUUGCAGGUUUAACGGAUACUAUAUUUGAUUUUUUUAUUUUUUUUUUCUUCCAGGCAGAUUUGAAAGACAGAGCACGGAAAGAUAAUGCAUUUACCAGAGUCUAUUACAUUGUACUUCUUAUGGUUUGAACAUCCUUUGACCUUGCUGUAAAGCACUCUUUGCUUCUGAUGGCAGAGAUGAGUCUGGAUCUGGAUGCCGGUUAUAAGCUGUCUGGCCUUGGAGGAGAAGAGAGGGUGGAGACAGAGGUCAUCAUCAUCGCCUGCCCUGGGCCUUCUGAGAGACACGUUCGCAGGCCUGGCAGCUCCUCUGAAAGUACUGAAAAGCCUCUGAUUGAAGAUGCUCUGGAAGAGAGCGAGCCAGAGAGGGAGAGACAGACAGAGAGAGAGAAGGUGGAAUAUGGUCGGAGGGAAUGAAACAAGCAGUCAAACUGUCAAUAUCUCUCUCUCUCUCACUCGGCUCUCUCGUGGAGGUUGGUGCGGGGCCAGUCAAUACACUGUCAGAGCUCCAUUUAGCAGUGACGUGGUGGGGAGGCCCAGAGAUGUGCCUGGCUGACAGAGAUGGAUGCUACGGUCCUCCACCGUCUGCAAGGACAAAGGGACACACAGACAGGCAGGCCGGCAAGGAGGGAAGGUGGUGCAGUCCUGCAUUACUGCUCUUUGCAACAGCCAUCAUCAUCUGCGGGGAGUUGAAUUGUGGUUAUGGGGGGCGGGGAUGGGCAAGUGUGCUGAAGAAGAGGAACUCGUUCUUUUCUGAAACCUCUAGUUUUGUCAGCUGCACAUGCAUUAUUCUCUGCUGUAGUGUGAGAACAGGCAGUCAAUUACACUGAUAUCAGUUGCAAUGAGAAAGAUGUACUUGUCAAGCAACGCAGUGCUGAACCGACAGCACAGUAGUAUUGUUGGGGGAUUGUUGGUGUGGUAAUCUGACUGUCAAAUUUCAACUGAGCUUUAUUUGUACUAACCCAGAAUAUUCUAUUAAUAUUCAAGUUUUAAGGUUAUGGCUUCUAAUUAGUAAUUUUUGCUCAUUGCAUGCAUUAUCAGUGGAUAGACUUCCCACUAAUGAAACUACUUAGACUGUGUGAAAGAUAUUUUUUCUCAUGUUGGCAUUAGAUAACCACAUUCUCACUCGCAUGUCAUCCAGAGAAACAUGUGAAGAAAAUGUGGUGACCAAAAAAGAACAUAAAUAAAUAAGAUAGGAAAAAAAAAAAAAAGCUUCCC
Cyprinus carpio (common carp) is the source of this 1801-nucleotide long non-coding RNA. The record is from Ensembl. NCBI's taxonomy places the organism in Eukaryota, Metazoa, Chordata, Actinopteri, Cypriniformes, Cyprinidae.